GAUGAAGAACGUAGCGAAAUGCGAUACUUGGUGUGAAUUGCAGAAUCCCGUGAACCAUCGAGUCUUUGAACGCAAGUUGCGCCCGAAGCCAUCAGGUUGAGGGCACGUCUGCCUGGGCGUCACAUAUCGUUGCCCAAUGCCUAUUGCAGUGCAAUAGGAAUUUCUAGGGCGAAUGAUGGCUUCCCGUGAGCGUUGUUGCCUCGCGGUUGGUUGAAAAUCGAGUCCUUGGUAGGGUGUGCCAUGGUAGAUGGUGGUCGAGUUAGAACGAUACCGAUCAUGUGCAUGCUCCCCAAAAUAUGGCCUCUAUGACCCACACGCGUCUUUUGACGCUCAUGACGAGACCUCAGGUCAGGCGGGGCUACCCGCUGAAUUUACGCAUAUCAAUAAGCGGAGGA
RNAcentral lists this unclassified non-coding RNA (395 nucleotides) under soil metagenome. RNAcentral's name for it is "partial contains 5.8S ribosomal RNA, internal transcribed spacer 2, and large subunit ribosomal RNA". The stretch from base 1 to 122 matches the Rfam family "5.8S ribosomal RNA", at positions 35 to 154 of the family's 154-position model. The record is from RNAcentral.